CCUACGGGAGGCAGCAGUGGGGAAUAUUGCACAAUGGGGGAAACCCUGAUGCAGCGACGCCGCGUGAGGGAAGAAGUAUUUCGGUAUGUAAACUUCUAUCAGCAGGGAAGAAAAUGACGGUACCUGACUAAGGAGCCCCGGCUAACUACGUGCCAGCACCCGCGGUAAUACGUAGGGGGCAAGCGUUAUCCGGAUUUACUGGGUGUAAAGGGGGCGUAGGCGGUUUAGCAAGUCUGAAGUGAAAGCCCGGGGCUUAACUCCGGGACUGCUUUUGAAACUGUUGAACUAGAGUGCAGGAGAGGUAAGUGGAAUUCCAAGUGUAGCGGUGAAAUGCGUAGAUAUUAGGAGGAACACCAGUGGCGAAGGCGGCUUACUGGACGGUAAAUGACGCUGAGGCUCGAAAGCGUGGGGAGCAAACAGGAUUAGAUACCCCUGUAGUC
Molecule: ribosomal RNA, 440 nt
Filed under: uncultured bacterium
Lineage: Bacteria
Description: partial 16S ribosomal RNA
Rfam family: Bacterial small subunit ribosomal RNA
Source: RNAcentral